This 440-nucleotide ribosomal RNA is filed under the name uncultured bacterium. RNAcentral describes it as "partial 16S ribosomal RNA". It matches the Rfam family "Bacterial small subunit ribosomal RNA", at positions 338 to 795 of the family's 1533-position model. The record is from RNAcentral.
CCUACGGGAGGCCGCAGUAGGGAAUAUUGCUCAAUGGGGGAAACCCUGACGCAGCAACGCCGCGUGGAGGAUGAAGGUUUUCGGAUUGUAAACUCCUUUUGUUAGAGAAGAUAAUGACGGUAUCUAACGAAUAAGCACCGGCUAACUCCGUGCCAGCAGCCGCGGUAAUACGGAGGGUGCAAGCGUUACUCGGAAUCACUGGGCGUAAAGAGCGCGUAGGCGGGAUAGCAAGUCAGAUGUGAAAUCCUAUGGCUUAACCAUAGAACUGCAGUUGAAACUGUUAUUCUAGAGUAUGGGAGAGGUAGGUGGAAUUCUUGGUGUAGGGGUAAAAUGCGUAGAGAUCAAGAGGAAUACUCAUUGCGAAGGCGACCUGCUAGAACAUAACUGACGCUGAUGCGCGAAAGCGUGGGGAGCAAACAGGAUUAGAUACCCCAGUAGUC